RNAcentral lists this ribosomal RNA (509 nucleotides) under Phryganea grandis. Its description in RNAcentral is "SSU rRNA". It matches the Rfam family "Eukaryotic small subunit ribosomal RNA", at positions 624 to 1101 of the family's 1831-position model. The record is from RNAcentral. Lineage: Eukaryota; Metazoa; Arthropoda; Insecta; Trichoptera; Phryganeidae. RNAcentral also lists the same sequence under 3 other names.
AAGCUCGUAGUUGAAAUUGUGUCCUGCGGUGUCGGUCUACCGAAUGCGGUACGACAGGCACGUCUGCGGGGCUUCUCGCCGGUGCGUCCACCGCCGGCGUGUGUCGGUCGGCCUCACGGUCGGCCGCGCACCGAGGCGGGCCGUCGCGGCUGUUUACUUUGAACAAAUUAGAGUGCUCAAAGCGGGCUAACACUUGCCUGAAUAUUGUACGCAUGGAAUAAUAGAAUAGGACCUCGGUUCUGUUUUGUUGGCUUUCUGAUACCAGAGGUAAUGAUUAAUAGGGACAACUGGGGGCAUUCGUAUUGCGACGUUAGAGGUGAAAUUCUUGGAUCGUCGCAAGACGGACUAAAGCGAAAGCAUUUGCCAAAGGUGUUUUCAUUAAUCAAGAACGAAAGUUAGAGGUUCGAAGGCGAUUAGAUACCGCUGUAGUUCUAACCAUAAAUGAUGCCAGCCAGCGAUCCGCCGAAGUUUCAUAAUUUUAACCCGGUGGGCAGCUCCCGGGAAACCAA